This 659-nucleotide long non-coding RNA is filed under the name Nicotiana tabacum (common tobacco). RNAcentral describes it as "long non-coding RNA (NTAB_LNC009603)". Lineage: Eukaryota; Viridiplantae; Streptophyta; Magnoliopsida; Solanales; Solanaceae. The record is from RNAcentral.
GAACAGUCAACAGAACUGCGUUGCUUUCGUCUCUCAACGGAAGGUCUCUCUUUGAAGCUUUUGCAACUUCAAGGUCUGCUUUCUUUUUUUAUAUAUAUUCUGCUUUAUACUAAUUUUAUGAUUAGAAUAGUGAAAAUUGACUACUCUGGUUAGUUUGUGGGAUGCAGAGGAAGUACAAAAUGAAAAAAGGCAAAGUUCUUUAUUGGCAGUUUCUGAACUUCAAGGUUUUCCUACUUUCUUUCUUUUCCAUAUGUUCUGCUUAUUAGAAGUUUAUAAUUUAAAAAUAGUAAAUGUUGACUAUUUUAUUUGGAUUAUUUAGAUGCAGAUGAAGCGUAAAAUAAAAAGACGCAUCGCAAUGAGAAUGAUUGACAGUAAUGAGGCAAGUCAUGAAGUGAUAAGCUUGACACAAGACUUCGCUGUAUUUUCUUUCCCUUUUUCGUUUUGUGGGGUUGGCUCAUUUCGUAUUGGUUUAAAUUGGCUAUUUCUUUUCGAUAUAAUAAAAAAGAAGAAACUUUAUUUCUGCAUUUGACAUUUAGUGCGAAGAUCGGUACUAUAAUAAACUCAUUUUGUAAUGUUUCUUGGAUUUUAACAAAUUAAACUCUAUGAAGCGGUUAUUUUUCCUCUACUGAUAAGUAAAUAAAGAAGCUAUUCAGAAUCGG